This 322-nucleotide ribosomal RNA is filed under the name uncultured eukaryote. RNAcentral describes it as "partial 18S ribosomal RNA". It matches the Rfam family "Eukaryotic small subunit ribosomal RNA", at positions 1470 to 1796 of the family's 1831-position model. The record is from RNAcentral.
CCCUUAGAUGUUCUGGGCCGCACGCGUGCUACACUGAGUGGAUCAGCGGGUCAGGUUGCGCGAAAGUGUUUCCUAAUCUUGAAAUCCGCUCGUGAUGGGGAUUGACGGUUGCAAUUUUCCGUCAUGAACGAGGAAUACCUUGUAAGCGCGGGUCAUCAUCCCGCGCUGAAUACGUCCCUGCCCUUUGUACACACCGCCCGUCGCUCCUACCGAUUGAGUGGUCCGGUGAAGCUUUGGGAUCUGAGCGGAAAGAGCGUUUCGCUGUUUCUGCUCGGAAAACUCAGUCGAACCUUAUCAUUUAGAGGAAGGAGAAGUCGUAACA